Molecule: ribosomal RNA, 463 nt
Filed under: uncultured bacterium
Lineage: Bacteria
Description: SSU rRNA
Rfam family: Bacterial small subunit ribosomal RNA
Source: RNAcentral
AGGAUAAACGCUGGCGGCAGGCCUAAUACAUGCAAGUCGAACGGACCCUUCGGGGUUAGUGGCGGACGGGUGAGUAACACGUGGGAACGUGCCCUUUGGUUCGGAACAACUCAGGGAAACUUGAGCUAAUACCGAAUGUGCCCCCAUCCUUAAACAAGAUGGGUGGGAAAGAUUUAUCGCCAUUGGAGCGGCCCGCGUCUGAUUAGCUAGUUGGUGGGUAAAGGCUCACCAAGGCGACGAUCAGUAGCUGGUCUGAGAGGAUGAUCAGCCACACUGGGACUGAGACACGGCCCAGACUCCUACGGGAGGCAGCAGUAGGGAAUCUUGCGCAAUGGGCGAAAGCCUGACGCAGCCAUGCCGCGUGAAUGAUGAAGGUCUUAGGAUUGUAAAAUUCUUUCAGUCGGGGACGAUAAUGACGGUACCCGCAGAAGAAGCCCCGGCUAACUUCGUGCCAGCCAGCCGC